RNAcentral lists this ribosomal RNA (1373 nucleotides) under uncultured bacterium. RNAcentral's name for it is "bacterial SSU rRNA". It matches the Rfam family "Bacterial small subunit ribosomal RNA", at positions 28 to 1381 of the family's 1533-position model. The record is from RNAcentral.
GAUGAACGCUGGCGGCGUGCCUAAUACAUGCAAGUCGAGCGAACGGACGAGAAGCUUGCUUCUCUGAUGUUAGCGGCGGACGGGUGAGUAACACGUGGAUAACCUACCUAUAAGACUGGGAUAACUUCGGGAAACCGGAGCUAAUACCGGAUAAUAUUUUGAACCGCAUGGUUCAAAAGUGAAAGACGGUCUUGCUGUCACUUAUAGAUGGAUCCGCGCUGCAUUAGCUAGUUGGUAAGGUAACGGCUUACCAAGGCAACGAUGCAUAGCCGACCUGAGAGGGUGAUCGGCCACACUGGAACUGAGACACGGUCCAGACUCCUACGGGAGGCUGCAGUAGGGAAUCUUCCGCAAUGGGCGAAAGCCUGACGGAGCAACGCCGCGUGAGUGAUGAAGGUCUUCGGAUCGUAAAACUCUGUUAUUAGGGAAGAACAUAUGUGUAAGUAACUGUGCACAUCUUGACGGUACCUAAUCAGAAAGCCACGGCUAACUACGUGCCAGCAGCCGCGGUAAUACGUAGGUGGCAAGCGUUAUCCGGAAUUAUUGGGCGUAAAGCGCGCGUAGGCGGUUUUUUAAGUCUGAUGUGAAAGCCCACGGCUCAACCGUGGAGGGUCAUUGGAAACUGGAAAAACUUGAGUGCAGAAGAGGAAAGUGGAAUUCCAUGUGUAGCGGUGAAAUGCGCAGAGAUAUGGAGGAACACCAGUGGCGAAGGCGACUUUCUGGUCUGUAACUGACGCUGAUGUGCGAAAGCGUGGGGAUCAAACAGGAUUAGAUACCCUGGUAGUCCACGCCGUAAACGAUGAGUGCUAAGUGUUAGGGGGUUUCCGCCCCUUAGUGCUGCAGCUAACGCAUUAAGCACUCCGCCUGGGGAGUACGACCGCAAGGUUGAAACUCAAAGGAAUUGACGGGGACCCGCACAAGCGGUGGAGCAUGUGGUUUAAUUCGAAGCAACGCGAAGAACCUUACCAAAUCUUGACAUCCUUUGACAACUCUAGAGAUAGAGCUUUCCCCUUCGGGGGACAAAGUGGCAGGUGGUGCAUGGUUGUCGUCAGCUCGUGUCGUGAGAUGUUGGGUUAAGUCCCGCAACGAGCGCAACCCUUAAGCUUAGUUGCCAUCAUUAAGUUGGGCACUCUAAGUUGACUGCCGGUGACAAACCGGAGGAAGGUGGGGAUGACGUCAAAUCAUCAUGCCCCUUAUGAUUUGGGCUACACACGUGCUACAAUGGACAAUACAAAGGGCAGCGAGACCGCGAGGUCAAGCAAAUCCCAUAAAGUUGUUCUCAGUUCGGAUUGUAGUCUGCAACUCGACUACAUGAAGCUGGAAUCGCUAGUAAUCGUAGAUCAGCAUGCUACGGUGAAUACGUUCCCGGGUCU